This 305-nucleotide ribosomal RNA is filed under the name uncultured bacterium. RNAcentral describes it as "bacterial SSU rRNA". It matches the Rfam family "Bacterial small subunit ribosomal RNA", at positions 334 to 636 of the family's 1533-position model. The record is from RNAcentral.
UUAUCCUACGGGGGGCAGCAGUGAGGAAUAUUGGUCAAUGGCCGCAGGGCUGAACCAGCCAAGUCGCGUGAGGGAUGACGGUCCUAUGGAUUGUAAACCUCUUUUGUCAGGGAGCAAAGGGCGCCACGUGUGGCGUUUUGCGAGUACCUGAAGAAAAAGCAUCGGCUAACUCCGUGCCAGUAGCCGCGGUAAUACGGAGGAUGCGAGCGUUAUCCGGAUUUAUUGGGUUUAAAGGGAGCGUAGACGGCUGCGCAAGUCUGAAGUGAAAGCCCGGGGCUCAACCCCGGGACUGCUUUGGAAACUGG